This is a long non-coding RNA of Zophobas morio, 617 nucleotides long. RefSeq lists it as uncharacterized. The record is from RefSeq and is a predicted model, not a curated record. Lineage: Eukaryota; Metazoa; Arthropoda; Insecta; Coleoptera; Tenebrionidae. The transcript has 6 exons.
CUCGUUGGUAUUCUUGUGACCCCUAUUGUUGUACUGGCUUAUGCAAAAGAGAGGUUACAAAUGACUUCCAGCUUACCGAUACAAACCAAACUUAGAAAUUAUAAAACUCCCGCUUGUCCUUCAAAAUGGAAGUUCAAAAAUUUUGAAGAAAUAAUAAUAGGAGCUUUAAUCAACUAUUAUGAAAACUCCCCAUCAAUAAAAAUAGUAAUAGCUUUUGAAAAAAUCAAAGAGCCGAAGGAAGUAAUAAAACGUAUUGAAACGCGACUCCAGCUUUGCACUAUAUUUAUUAAAUGUAUAAAAGAUUUGUUUAAUUGCGUUACUAUAAAGCAACACUCUGUGUUGUUUUUGGAUGCCGAUUGGUUAACCCAAUUGGACGAAUUCGGCAUCAUAAACCUCAAUAACCUGAUAAAAAUUUACCGAAGAAAAACCUUUUUAGUUGCUGUAUUCAAAAAAAUAUCUCUGGAUAAUUUAAUCUUCUGCAACUAUUUUUCUUGCGAUUAUCUCAUCAUGAAACCCUUAACUACCUUAGAAGUUCUAACAGUUUUAUUAAUAGCUAUGAAAACAUUUCCCAGGAAAUAUAAAGAAAGAAGAGAGCUAUAACUCUUCGAAAACCUAAA